CACACACAGCCCAGAGCAGGCAGUGGAGGCGACUCCGGAGCCGGGCACCAAAUGCCUCAUCUGCAUGGAGCCUGUGGAGGACAGAAAGACCUUCAACACCCUGGUGUGCCCAGCCUGCAAAACCACCUGGUUCCACAGGGACUGCAUCCAAGGACAGACUCUGCAUGCUGGUCUUUUAUCCCUCCAGUGCCCUCUCUGCAGAAAUGAUGACACAUUUCUCAUGGAUAUGUUCACCAUGGGGAUCUGAAUCCCCUUGAGACCACCAUCAUGGGAGAGCAAUAAUGCAUUCACCAAGUUCGGAGAGAGACACGGGCACUGCGAUGCCAGUGAGUGCCUUUGUCCAGGAGGCAGGCAGGAGGCAGAGCAGGAGGGGCCCUGGGAACUGCUCCUGUGCUCCUCCUGUGCUGCCGAGGGCACCCACAGACACUGCUCUGGCCUGGGGACAGCAUAACCAGCUGGGAAUGUGAUGGCUGUGCAAUCCUG
Molecule: long non-coding RNA, 483 nt
Organism: Neopelma chrysocephalum (saffron-crested tyrant-manakin)
Lineage: Eukaryota; Metazoa; Chordata; Aves; Passeriformes; Pipridae
Exons: 4
Source: RefSeq, a predicted model, not a curated record